UGAAACCGUUCAGGGGUAAACCUGAGAAACCCGAAAGAUCGAAUGGGGAGAUUCAUCGUCAGCGAUACUGGUACGUGUGCGGUUCGCGAUGCCGGAGACUUCGGUCUCGUGGCACGCGUCCGUAUGUUUUUAUUGCCUGGUGUCGUCGGCGUGCACUUCUCCCCUAGUAGGACGUCGCGACCCGUUGGGUGUCGGUCUACGGCCCGGGUGGGUGCCUGUCUCGUGUGUGCUUCACGGCAUCACUGCGGGGCAGACCCCCGGCUGCCCGACCGUCUGCCCGGCGGUACUCGCAAGGUAUCUGGCCGCAAAUAUUCGAACUGCGUCCGGCCCGUCGCAAGCGAGGCAAGUGCUUCCCGAAUGCACGGAUCUAAUGCCGUCAUCGGGCCUUGCCAGCUGUUGGUUGACGGUGUCCUGGGACUGGCUAAAGUUAUUAUGAUACCGGUCAGCGACGCUACUGCUUUGGGUACUUUCAGGACCCGUCUUGAAACACGGACCAAGGAGUCUAACAUGUGCGCGAGUCAUUGGGAGUUAUUAAGCCUAAAGGCGCAAUGAAAGUGAAGGUCGGCCUCGCGCCGACCGAGGGAGGAUGGACCGCGUCACGAUGCGGUCCCGCACUCCCGGGGCGUCUCGUUCUCAUUGCGAGAAGAGGCGCACCCAGAGCGUACACGUU
RNAcentral lists this ribosomal RNA (670 nucleotides) under Epirhyssa iiapensis. Its description in RNAcentral is "partial large subunit ribosomal RNA". It matches the Rfam family "Eukaryotic large subunit ribosomal RNA", at positions 400 to 810 of the family's 3401-position model. The record is from RNAcentral. Lineage: Eukaryota; Metazoa; Arthropoda; Insecta; Hymenoptera; Ichneumonidae.